CCUACGGGUGGCAGCAGUGGGGAAUAUUCCGCAAUGGGCGCAAGCCUGACGGAGCAAUGCCGCGUGAACGAAGAAGGUCUUCGGAUUGUAAAGUUCUGUCCUCAUCGAAGAGAGGGUAUAGAGUGAAAAAUGAUAUACUAGGACGGUAGAUGAGGAGGAAGCCCGGGCUAACUACGUGCCAGCAGCCGCGGUAAUACGUAGGGGGCGAGCGUUGUCCGGAACCACUGGGCGUAAAGGGCGCGUAGGCGGUAAUAGAAGUCAGAUGUGAAAGGUGGGGGCUCAACCCCGAGACGGCAACUGAUACUGUAUAGCUUGAGUGUGGGAGAGGGAGGCGGAAUUCCUGGUGUAGCGGUGAAAUGCGUAGAUAUCAGGAGGAACACCGGUGGCGAAGGCGGCUUUCUGGCUUAUAACUGACGCUGAGGCGCGAAAGCGUGGGGAGCAAACAGGAUUAGAUACCCUUGUAGUC
Molecule: ribosomal RNA, 466 nt
Filed under: uncultured bacterium
Lineage: Bacteria
Description: partial 16S ribosomal RNA
Rfam family: Bacterial small subunit ribosomal RNA
Source: RNAcentral